ACAUGCAAGUCGAACGCUUCUUUCCUCCCGAGUGCUUGCACUCAAUUGGAAAGAGGAGUGGCGGACGGGUGAGUAACACGUGGGUAACCUACCCAUCAGAGGGGGAUAACACUUGGAAACAGGUGCUAAUACCGCAUAACAGUUUAUGCCGGGACCCGCGGUGCAUUAGCUAGUUGGUGAGGUAACGGCUCACCAAGGCGACGAUGCAUAGCCGACCUGAGAGGGUGAUCGGCCACACUGGGACUGAGACACGGCCCAGACUCCUACGGGAGGCAGCAGUAGGGAAUCUUCGGCAAUGGACGAAAGUCUGACCGAGCAACGCCGCGUGAGUGAAGAAGGUUUUCGGAUCGUAAAACUCUGUUGUUAGAGAAGAACAAGGACGUUAGUAACUGAACGUCCCCUGACGGUAUCUAACCAGAAAGCCACGGCUAACUACGUGCCAGCAGCCGCGGUAAUACGUAGGUGGCAAGCGUUGUCCGGAUUUAUUGGGCGUAAAGCGAGCGCAGGCGGUUUCUUAAGUCUGAUGUGAAAGCCCCCGGCUCAACCGGGNNGGGUCAUUGGAAACUGGGAGACUUGAGUGCAGAAGAGGAGAGUGGAAUUCCAUGUGUAGCGGUGAAAUGCGUAGAUAUAUGGAGGAACACCAGUGGCGAAGGCGGCUCUCUGGUCUGUAACUGACGCUGAGGCUCGAAAGCGUGGGGAGCAAACAGGAUUAGAUACCCUGGUAGUCCACGCCGUAAACGAUGAGUGCUAAGUGUUGGAGGGUUUCCGCCCUUCAGUGCUGCAGCAAACGCAUUAAGCACUCCGCCUGGGGAGUACGACCGCAAGGUUGAAACUCAAAGGAAUUGACGGGGGCCCGCACAAGCGGUGGAGCAUGUGGUUUAAUUCGAAGCAACGCGAAGAACCUUACCAGGUCUUGACAUCCUUUGACCACUCUAGAGAUAGAGCUUUCCCUUCGGGGACAAAGUGACAGGUGGUGCAUGGUUGUCGUCAGCUCGUGUCGUGAGAUGUUGGGUUAAGUCCCGCAACGAGCGCAACCCUUAUUGUUAGUUGCCAUCAUUUAGUUGGGCACUCUAGCGAGACUGCCGGUGACAAACCGGAGGAAGACGUCAAAUCAUCAUGCCCCUUAUGACCUGGGCUACACACGUGCUACAAUGGGAAGUACAACGAGUCGCUAGACCGCGAGGUCAUGCAAAUCUCUUAAAGCUUCUCUCAGUUCGGAUUGCAGGCUGCAACUCGCCUGCAUGAAGCCGGAAUGGGGGGGGGGGGAUCGCGGAUCAGCACGCCGCGGUGAAUACGUUCCCGGGCCUUGUACACACCGCCCGUCACACCACGAGAGUUUGUAACACCCGAAGUCGGUGAGGUAACCUUUUUGGAGCCAGCCGCCUAAGGGGGGGGGGGGGGGGGCCCCCCCCGUGGGAUA
Molecule: ribosomal RNA, 1420 nt
Filed under: Enterococcus faecalis
Lineage: Bacteria; Bacillati; Bacillota; Bacilli; Lactobacillales; Enterococcaceae
Description: partial 16S ribosomal RNA
Rfam family: Bacterial small subunit ribosomal RNA
Source: RNAcentral